ACUGAAGUGGAGGAAAAUGUGGUAGAAGGAGAAGCAAAGAGUAGUAAUUUUCCGAGAACACAAAUUCCAUAUGAGCCAAAGUAAUUGGCCUUGGAGGCAGGAGGUGCAGAGAUAAGUUAAGGAUUAUAGGUCGAAGAAAAUAACAUGAUAAAUCAAAAACCCUGAAUACCAUAAUGCCAGAAAUAAUCGGAGAAGAGCGUCCACAACUUUUGAAUACAGAUAGCAAAGUGUCGUUUCAGAGAAUCCACAGAUUGCUGCUGUUGCCAUGCUCUGAACUCUAGGACACAGCAUGGUUCAGUUGAACUUUUCGGUGUCAAAUUUUGCAAGCAGCGAGGAGAAAGACCUUUGGAUAAGAAGGAAAGGCAAACCAAAGAACAUGAUGAUUCUGAGUUUACUAGAAGUCAGAGAGGGGAAGGGACAGACAUUUCCCAAGGCAAUUGAGUGAGCCCAAGCUGCAAUCCCAGAUUCUAUGUAUACCUUUGAAACCCUUUAGGUGUCUCAUCCACAAGAAAAGAUGGACGUUCAGUGGAGAAGAGCCAUUUGAGUCAUUCCUUAAAAUAACAACAAAACCUAGAGAUGGACGGCCAUGCCACCCUGCACAGAAGCACAAGAAAGAUAAGGAAUGCCCUCUGACCUACAAGUGCUCGGUCAGUUUCUGCCUGAACAGCUCCAUUAAGAAGCUACUUGCUGCAUUUUGAGCCCUGCUUGUUAGGUGGGCUUCUUGCUUGGCUAGGUCAAGUAGAUGACUCCUCAGUGCUUCUGUGGCCCCCGGAAGACGACUAUGAAUUUCACUUGCUGGACCGUGAGGACUUUCUGAUCUUCUGAAGUUCACAGGCUCCUACUGCGGCUUGUUAUGGCUCCAGAUACUCAUUUUACCCGAUUCAGAAGAAGCAAACCCAAGAGCCAAAAGAAACCCUGGGCAUCAUGUGUGCAAAGCCAGGAGCAAACUCAGGAGAAAAUUGGAUGGCUUGGGGAGAGAAGAGAAAAUACGUGCCAUCUGUUCUCAGAGAAAUGGAGAAAGUGCCAGGAGGAAACUGAGGCAUGGAGAUGGGAAGUAUCUUGCCCCACAGUGAUAUAGCUGAUAAGGCUUCAGGUAAGUGUCUAGCCCUGGAACCCAGGGCUCUUACAUUCAGGUCCUCUACACUUAUUCUAGUAUACCACACAGCUUGCCAAGGACCCUAACUUGGGGUCAGGGCAACUGAGUUCAAAUCCUGGCUCCGCUGCCUACUAGCGAUGUCACCACAGGUACUUUUCUGCUGGGCCUCAGUUCCCUUUGCUAUAAAAUGAUAGCAGUGGAUCAGAUGAUCUCAGAAAUCCUAUCUAUCCAGCCUUAUCUCUCAUCAUCACCUACAUGAAAUCUUUCUUGUAGCCAGGCUCCUCUGCCCAGAACCUCUACGUUCCUGUCUCCUUGCCUUUGCUAGCAGUACUUCCCAUUUUUGGAAUGCCCUUCCCCUGCUCUUAUGCAACUCCUUCAGAUCCUCUGAGGAGUGGCCCUAGCCAUGCCUCCUCUGGGAAUUCUCCCUUUCCCAGCUCUGCUGUGCCUGACGUCUCCCUUCCCUGACUGGAUGGACCUGGAAGGCCUUAUGCCCUUGGAAUACACUCUCCUUCUAGCCUCAUAGGAUUAUACAUUAGCCCUGGAGUUGAGAGGGUCCCUGGAGGCCAUCUAGACCAAUUCCCUCAUUUUAUGGAGAAGGAGAUGGCCUCAGGAAAGUUCAGUGGUUUGCCUAAGAUCAUACAGAUAGGAAGUGACAGAGCCUGGACUUGAACCCAGGUCCUGUGACUCCCAAUCCAGUGCUCUUUGCUGUACCACCUUGUCUCUCCAGUAGAGUUGGUGCCAUUUGUCUUAUGGAUCCCUGCGGCCCCCCCCCCCUCCACUGUUCAGUGGGCAUAUUGGGCAGGGCACAGAGCCAGAGGUCAGGUGAUGGAGGAAUGCCAGGUAGGUGAUGGGAUCUCAGGAAGGAAGGUGAAGGUGAUCAGGCAGGAGGAGUGAGAUUUCCGCUGGAGAAGAAAGUAUUCACACUGAUGAAAUGGGGCAUCUUUGAUUAACUUGGAGCCUGGACUUUUGUAGGUAAGCUGUGUGUGGGGAGAGGGUGGAGGUCCACCUAGGAAACCAGAGGGAGGGAGGCACCUUAGAGAUCAUCUUACUCAUUUGACAAAGAAGGAACGGGAGGCCCAGGGGUCACAGAACUGACAUUUGAACCCAGGUCAGCUGACUCCAGAUCCCGUGUUCUUUCUACUGAGCCAUGGUGAAUAAACUGGCCAGCUUCUUAAUUAAGGUAGUAGAU
This 2285-nucleotide long non-coding RNA is filed under the name Monodelphis domestica (gray short-tailed opossum). Its description in RNAcentral is "lncRNA (ENSMODG00000046084.1)". Lineage: Eukaryota; Metazoa; Chordata; Mammalia; Didelphimorphia; Didelphidae. The record is from RNAcentral.